GACGAACGCUGGCGGCGUGCUUAACACAUGCAAGUCGAACGGUGAUGCUCCAGCUUGCUGGAGUGGAUCAGUGGCGAACGGGUGAGUAACACGUGAGCAACCUGCCCCAGACUCUGGAAUAAGCGCUGGAAACGGCGUCUAAUACUGGAUACGAAACUGGCCCGCAUGGGCAUGGUUUGGAAAGUUAUUCGGUUUGGGAUGGGCUCGCGGCCUAUCAGCUUGUUGGUGAGGUAAUGGCUCACCAAGGCGACGACGGGUAGCCGGCCUGAGAGGGCGACCGGCCACAAUGGGACUGAGACACGGCCCAGACGGCUACGGGAGGCAGCAGUGGGGAAUAUUGCACAAUGGGCGAAAGCCUGAUGCAGCGACGCCGCGUGAGGGAUGACGGCCUUCGGGUUGUAAACCUCUUUCAGCAGGGAAGAAGCGAAAGUGACGGUACCUGCAGAAGAAGCACCGGCUAACUACGUG
Molecule: ribosomal RNA, 468 nt
Filed under: uncultured bacterium
Lineage: Bacteria
Description: partial 16S ribosomal RNA
Rfam family: Bacterial small subunit ribosomal RNA
Source: RNAcentral